AGGAUGAACGCUGGCGGCGUGCCUAAUACAUGCAAGUCGAGCGGUAAGGCUACUUCGGUAGUACACGAGCGGCGGACGGCUGAGUAACACGUAGGAACGUACCCCAAAGUGAGGCAUAAGCACCAGAAAUGGUGUCUAAUACCGCAUGUGAUCUUCGGAUUAAAGCUUCGGCGCUUUGGGAACGGCCUGCGCAUGAUUAGCUUGUUGGUGAGGUAAUAGCUCACCAAGGCGACGAUCAUUAGCUGGUCUGAGAGGAUGACCAGCCAGACUGGGACUGAGAACGGCCCAGACUCCUACGGGAGGCAGCAGUAGGGAAUUUUCCACAAUGGGCGAAAGCCUGAUGGAGCAACGCCGCGUGCAGGAUGAAGGCUCUCGGGUCGUAAACUGCUUUUAUAUGUGAAGAUUAUGACGGUAGCAUAUGAAUAAGGAUCGGCUAGCUCGCGCCAGCAGCCGCGGU
Molecule: ribosomal RNA, 457 nt
Filed under: uncultured bacterium
Lineage: Bacteria
Description: SSU rRNA
Rfam family: Bacterial small subunit ribosomal RNA
Source: RNAcentral